RNAcentral lists this ribosomal RNA (253 nucleotides) under uncultured bacterium. RNAcentral's name for it is "partial 16S ribosomal RNA". It matches the Rfam family "Bacterial small subunit ribosomal RNA", at positions 524 to 776 of the family's 1533-position model. The record is from RNAcentral.
UACGGAGGGUGCAAGCGUUAAUCGGAAUUACUGGGCGUAAAGCGUGCGUAGGUGGUUCGUUAAGUCCGUUGUGAAAGCCCCGAGCUCAACUUGGGAAUUGCAGUGGAUACUGGCGAGCUAGAGUGCGGUAGAGGAAGGUGGAAUUCCCGGUGUAGCGGUGAAAUGCGUAGAGAUCGGGAGGAACACCAGUGGCGAAAGCGGCUUCCUGGUCCGACACCGACGUUCAGGCACGAAAGCGUGGGGAGCAAACAGG